This 522-nucleotide ribosomal RNA is filed under the name uncultured Glomus. RNAcentral's name for it is "SSU rRNA". It matches the Rfam family "Eukaryotic small subunit ribosomal RNA", at positions 569 to 1092 of the family's 1831-position model. The record is from RNAcentral. Lineage: Eukaryota; Fungi; Glomeromycota; Glomeromycetes; Glomerales; Glomeraceae.
AGCAGCCGCGGUAAUUCCAGCUCCAAUAGCGUAUAUUAAAGUUGUUGCAGUUAAAAAGCUCGUAGUUGAAUUUCGGGGUUAGUAGGUUGGUCGUGCCUAUGGUAUGUACUGGCUUUACUGAUUCCUCCUUCUUGAAGAACUGUAAUGUCAUUAAUUUGGUGUUGCAGGGAAACAGGACUGUUACUUUGAAAAAAUUAGAGUGUUUAAAGCAGGCUAACGCUUGAAUACAUUAGCAUGGAAUAAUGAAAUAGGACGUUUGAUCCUAUUUUGUUGGUUUCUAGGAUUGACGUAAUGAUUAAUAGGGAUAGUUGGGGGCAUUAGUAUUCAAUUGUCAGAGGUGAAAUUCUUGGAUUUAUUGAAGACUAACUACUGCGAAAGCAUUUGCCAAGGAUGUUUUCAUUAAUCAAGAACGAAAGUUAGGGGAUCGAAGACGAUCAGAUACCGUCGUAGUCUUAACCAUAAACUAUGCCGACUAGGGAUCGGAUGAUGUUAAUUUUUUAAUGACUCAUUCGGUGCCUUACG